AGUGAACGCUGGCGGCAGGCCUAAUACAUGCAAGUCGAACGAGCCCGCAAGGGCAAGUGGCGAAAGGGUUAGUAAUACGAUCGAAUGUACCCUGAGGUGGCGGAUAGUCGUGGGAAACUGCGGGUAAUACGUCAUGAUCUCUCCGGAGCAAAGAUUUAUCGCCUUGGGAGCAGCGAUCGUCCUAUCAGGUAGUUGGCGGGGUAAUGGCCCACCAAGCCGAAGACGGGUAGCGGGUGUGAGAGCACGGCCCGCAACAUCGGAACUGAGACACUGUCCGGACUCCUACGGGAGGCUGCAGUAACGAAUCUUCCGCAAUGGGCGAAAGCCUGACGGAGCAAUGCCGCGUGUGGGAUGAAGCGCCUU
This 363-nucleotide ribosomal RNA is filed under the name uncultured bacterium. Its description in RNAcentral is "bacterial SSU rRNA". It matches the Rfam family "Bacterial small subunit ribosomal RNA", at positions 29 to 419 of the family's 1533-position model. The record is from RNAcentral.